GGCGCAACCGGGGCCCCCUUGGAUGUCACAUUCGUAGGAAGAGAGAGAAGUCUUGGACCAUGUGUGUAAUUCGAGCGUGGGACUGUGCAAUUCUCGGAUUGGGAAAGGGAGGAGUGGAAAUAACCCCGGCAGUGCCAGGCUUGCUGGUGGUCAGGAACAGAUGAUUCCAGCCCUGUGCUGAUCGCCUGCCUUCCUCCUGCCAUUCAGAAUGCUGCUGUCUCGUGUACUUACUGUUAAGGAUCCUGGAAAAGGGAGUGGUUCCUCCUAGCUGCAAACAAGGGCGCUACUUUUCUUUUCUCUUUAAUAGAAUUACGUUUUAUAGGUGUGUCUAGGCAACACAAGGGAAUGUGAAAGACUUUCAGAGGGAAUGUUUGUGAAUACAUCUGGUGUGUACUAAAAAGCUGGAAAACCCCUAAGUAAAUGCAAUAUCGAUAGAAAGCGAGUUUCUUGAAGAGUCAUCUGCUAAACUCCACUAGAGUCAUCUCUACAGGUGUGGUUAAGAGAAAAAAAAAUUGCCAUUAAGGAAUCAGCAAAUAGGAUGUCUGAAGUGAGGAUAUAGCACCUAUCUCUGAGAUUAAAGUCAUCUGAUCAAAAAUGAUGCCUCUGAGACUAUAACAAAGGAAUGAAUAAUGAAAUAUAAGAAUGGGGAUUCUGCACUAACUCUAUGGGGAAGAAAACAAUGCUCUGAUAUAGCAAGACCAAACCAUCAUCUUUCUCCUCCUUCUCAACUCAACGUGAAGACAACAAGAAUGAAGACUUUUGAUGAUCCACUUCCACUUAAUGACUAUCUCUGUUCAUCAUGAGAAAUGCUCAGCGACUGCAGACAUAAAGAGAAAGCUUUCAAUUAAAGUUUCAAUGAUGGGAUAGGAACUGAGAAGUCUGUGGAGUUUUCUGCCUAGGAGUACCCUUGGAAAAGCCACUGCUAUGCCCAACCAGCACUGGGAAUCCCAGAUCACAUGCAAUCAUAGGAGUUGCCCUGGAGGCAGAAGCUCAGCACAUGUUCUGGUACAAGGAGAUUACAGUGUUGUGCAAAGCAAAGGGAUGAAUGAUGCCCAACUCUCUAACAUGGGCCUCGGUUUCCACAUCGAGGUUGGAAAUGAGCUAGGAAGCAGAUCCACCAUAAAUGGAGAAAGAAGAGAAACAAGUUGAGCUUUUAAUGACCCCGUAGCCUGACUCUUUGGUAUGGAAAUGGAAAGAGAUCCUCAUGGAAACAUAAAUAAAAUAUAUCACAUGUAACUUAUACCAAUAAUUAUUUUCUCCCCCAGUACCUCAAUUUUGCCCAGAUUGGACUCUAUUUUAUUUCCUUAUUUUUCCACAGUAAUUUACUUAAGUAAAACCAGGAUUUAUUUUAUUCAUCUCCAUGUCAGUUGCUAAGUCCAAGGGAUGUAUAUAGUUUAAAAAAUAUCACAAAGGAUGAUAUGGUGAAAUUGAACAACACAUUAUUACCUGAUGUACAGUCAUUGAUUUUGUAUACUAGCCUUUACCCCUGGCUACUGAUAAUUUUGGAUUUUGAAGAUUCAAAGACAGAGACUUGUAAAUACUUUAGUUUUUACACUUCUUUAUCAUACUCAUACCUGGGAUGGAAAAGUAUCAUUUAAUAUAUUAAGAACAUUGUUAUAGUACAUGUAUUUAAAUAACUCACAAGAGCAAGUAAUCUUACCUCAUGUCAUCUAUUUUUGAAAAAAUAUUUUGUGUAUUUCCACAUGCUUCUUCCAGAUGACCUUUAGCAAAACUUUGUGAAGUUUCAUUGUGGCUGUUGUCUUAGAAAGAUGGUCUUGUUAAUAAGGUCAGUGUUUUAGCCUUGCAAUAUAAGAUUAUGUGCAUUUGUUUAGAGGGAGACUUUAGGAUACAGCGAAGUGUUUUACAAAUGUUUACCAUUUUUAUUCUUAUUAGAUUUUUGAAAGUAUUUGGUUUAAAAUUUUCUUCUUUUUAUUCAACCAGCUCUUUAAAUUACCCAUCAAUUCUUGUUAAGAGUGUGUAUUGUAUAUCUCUCUAUACAUUUCAUGUAUUUUUGUAUGAAUUGUGCUAUUUUUAUAAUUUUUCUAUUUAGCCUCUGUAUCCAAUAUGAUUCAAUGUAUACAUGGAUGCCAUACGUAGGUACUGAUUAUUUCCUCUUUUAUUAUUAAUAAAUUCUAAUUUAUUUCAA
RNAcentral lists this long non-coding RNA (2146 nucleotides) under Homo sapiens (human). RNAcentral describes it as "MIR4500 host gene". Lineage: Eukaryota; Metazoa; Chordata; Mammalia; Primates; Hominidae. The record is from RNAcentral.